UCGAGAAUCAUUCGCAAUGGGCGAAAGCCUGACGAUGCGACGCCGCGUGCAGGACGACGGCCUUCGGGUUGUAAACUGCUGUGAUGGGGGAACAAUUGGCAGGGCAUUAAUAGUGUCUUGUCUUGAUAGUACCCCAAGAGGAAGCCACGGCUAACUCUGUGCCAGCAGCCGCGGUAAUACAGAGGUGGCAAGCGUUGUGCGGAUUUACUAGGCGUAAAGGGUGCGUAGGCGGCAUCAUAUGUCGAAUGUGAAAUCCCACGGAUUAUCUGUGGAACUGCAUACGAAACUGUGGUGCUAGAGGACAGGAGAGGAGCGCGGCAUUCACGGUGUAGCAGUGAAAUGCGUUGAUAUCGUGAAGAACGCCGGUGGCGAAGGCGGCCCUCUGGACUGUAUCUGACGCUGAGGCACGAAAGCUAGGGGAGCAAACAG
Molecule: ribosomal RNA, 429 nt
Filed under: uncultured bacterium
Lineage: Bacteria
Description: bacterial SSU rRNA
Rfam family: Bacterial small subunit ribosomal RNA
Source: RNAcentral